GACGAACGCUGGCGGCGUGCCUAAUACAUGCAAGUAGAACGCUGAAGAGAGGAGCUUGCUCUUCUUGGAUGAGUUGCGAACGGGUGAGUAACGCGUAGGUAACCUGCCUUGUAGCGGGGGAUAACUAUUGGAAACGAUAGCUAAUACCGCAUAACAAUGGACGACACAUGUCAUUUAUUUGAAAGGGGCAAUUGCUCCACUACAAGAUGGACCUGCGUUGUAUUAGCUAGUAGGUGAGGUAAUGGCUCACCUAGGCGACGAUACAUAGCCGACCUGAGAGGGUGAUCGGCCACACUGGGACUGAGACACGGCCCAGACUCCUACGGGAGGCAGCAGUAGGGAAUCUUCGGCAAUGGGGGCAACCCUGACCGAGCAACGCCGCGUGAGUGAAGAAGGUUUUCGGAUCGUAAAGCUCUGUUGUAAGUCAAGAACGGGUGUGAGAGUGGAAAGUUCACACUGUGACGGUAGCUUACCAGAAAGGGACGGCUAACUACGUG
RNAcentral lists this ribosomal RNA (497 nucleotides) under uncultured bacterium. RNAcentral describes it as "partial 16S ribosomal RNA". It matches the Rfam family "Bacterial small subunit ribosomal RNA", at positions 28 to 507 of the family's 1533-position model. The record is from RNAcentral.